Molecule: microRNA precursor, 89 nt
Filed under: Bombyx mori (domestic silkworm)
Lineage: Eukaryota; Metazoa; Arthropoda; Insecta; Lepidoptera; Bombycidae
Description: microRNA bmo-mir-1923 precursor
Rfam family: mir-1923 microRNA precursor family
Source: miRBase by way of RNAcentral
UCGAAACUUGCCAUUUAAAAUGGUGCCUUCGAUAACUUUUUUCAUUAAUUUUUAAUGACUAAUCGCGUACCGUUGCAUAGCCGUGGCGG